The sequence is a transfer RNA, 82 nucleotides long. It matches the Rfam family "tRNA". Rfam says of the family: Transfer RNA (tRNA) molecules are approximately 80 nucleotides in length. Their secondary structure includes four short double-helical elements and three loops (D, anti-codon, and T loops). Further hydrogen bonds mediate the characteristic L-shaped molecular structure. tRNAs have two regions of fundamental functional importance: the anti-codon, which is responsible for specific mRNA codon recognition, and the 3' end, to which the tRNAs corresponding amino acid is attached (by aminoacyl-tRNA synthetases). tRNAs cope with the degeneracy of the genetic code in two manners: having more than one tRNA (with a specific anti-codon) for a particular amino acid; and 'wobble' base-pairing, i.e. permitting non-standard base-pairing at the 3rd anti-codon position. The record is from Rfam.
GGGCCCGUAGCUCAGCGGCAGAGCGUGAGAUUCCAGUUCAGGUGUUUCCUCAAGGUCAUCCGUUCAAUCCGGGUCGGGCUCA